RNAcentral lists this long non-coding RNA (603 nucleotides) under Lathyrus oleraceus (garden pea). RNAcentral describes it as "Pisum sativum (pea) long non-coding RNA (PSAT_LNC009593)". The record is from RNAcentral. Lineage: Eukaryota; Viridiplantae; Streptophyta; Magnoliopsida; Fabales; Fabaceae.
AAGAUGUUUUACUGAUGGAUUCUUUGCAUUGAGAAGUGUGGUUUGAAGUUAGGGGAAUAUUAUAGUCAUAAGACGAUUGAAACUGCAAAAGCAAUGAGAGGUUCGACUCUGACAUUAUGGUUGUGGUAGUAUCAAUGCCGUCAAGUGUUGCGAUGUAAUUCAUGUUUAGAUAAUCUGUCUAACAAAUACUUUUAAAUAGUUUGUUAGAAAUUACAAUUGUCUAACUUAAUUUUGGUUAGUUGCAUAACUUGGUUGAGACAUGGAAGACAGAAGCAAAUUGAAAAAGGAUUUCCUUUUUUAAAGGAAUAAGUAAACAAUGACAAAUUAGAACUUGAAUAUUGCAGAAUUAAGGUGCAAUUGGUUGAUAUUCUAACAAAGCUAUUGAAGAAAGUUUGAUGAUUUGAAGAAGCUUAUAAGAAUGAGAAGAUGGUGUGUUGAGUUGUAGUUCAUCUUUAGAUAAAUUAUUUAACAAAUAUGAUAUCUGCUUAAUUAGAAGUUACAAUUGGUUAUUUUGAUGAUUAAUUUAGUUUUGAUAUUGCUGAACAAGUUGUGUUUGUUGUGAGUUGGUUGAGACACUUUCUAUAUAACUGAUUUGUCCAUAAU